CGGCAUUUGACUGGGGACUCCGCUCUGUUGACUCUCUCGCGCUGGCAGGUGCGAUGCACGUGAGAUUAGGCACCGGUGGGAGAGAUCGGUAAAGGCGUUUCCUUCGGCGGCGAUCGCGGUUGGUAGUGCGGAAGGCGGAGACGGACGUGGAGAGAUGAUACUGGCCGUGCUCUUCGCCAACACCGACGGCAACAUCCUGAUCGAGCGUUUUCAUGGAGUGCCUGCGGAGGAGCGACUGCAUUGGCGGUCUUUCCUAGUGAAAUUAGGAGCUGAUAAUCUUAAAGGAGCUACAAAUGAGGAGCUUUUUGUUGCUUCACACAAGUCUGUGUCUAUUGUAUACACCGUGCUUGGAGAUGUCUGCAUUUAUGUUGUGGGCAAGGAUGAGUAUGAUGAGCUUGCUUUGGCAGAAGUGCCUUUGUAAUCACAUCAACGGUGAAGGAUGUUUGCGGAAAACUUCCAACUGAGCGCCUGUUCCUCGACAAAUAUGGAAAGAUAUGCCUGUGUCUCGAUGAAAUUGUUUGGACAGGGAUGCUGGAGAACACAGACAAGGACAGGAUCCGAAAGGUGAUGAGGCUAAGACCUCCUACUGAGGCAUGACGUGGAGAUUGUUUUGGGUCUGUAUCUGUUAGAUCCAUGCAGAAACCGGAUGUCCCAUUUAUUGGGUCCCCCUUAUUGUUCUCAUGUGUAACAGUGUCUGCUCUGCUGUUUUUUCAUACAACACUACCUUACUGAUAUCCAAAGGUCGACAAGGAGAAUUUGUUUUGGUGAAAUUGCAGAGAUUUCUUGAUUACCUUCUUUAA
Non-coding RNA from Phoenix dactylifera (date palm), 800 nucleotides. NCBI's taxonomy places the organism in Eukaryota, Viridiplantae, Streptophyta, Magnoliopsida, Arecales, Arecaceae. The record is from RefSeq and is a predicted model, not a curated record.